CCUCUCGCCUGUGAAGAAAAAGCAACCACGACAGCGUAAGUGUGAGCCUACUGGUUCCUUUACAGCAGCUUCCCGCCUCCCCUUCCUCUUACUUAAAGCCACCCAGUGUUCAUGUUCUGUUCAGUAAAGCAAAGAGAGUCGCUCAGCCACGGCAACAUAAGGAGACACAUUUUAGUUUCAACAUGUGAAGAAAGCACAACUUUUACUUCUCUUAUUUAUGUAUGAAACAUUCAAAAGCCUAAAAAUCGACUAAAACAAAAAGUUUAGAUGAGACGAGCCUGUGAGACAGGCUGACUCUGUGGUUUGGAGGCAGAGAGACAAAGACAAUCUCUCCUUUUGGAGACAAAGGAAGAUGAAAAUAUUCACAUGAAACAGUUUGGUUUCACUCCCACACCCAUCUGCCCAUCAACUGACUAUUCUUCAACUUGACAUCAUCUUUCUACACAGACAAGAGGAAGGAGAAGAGGAGGAUAACACAGAGCAAGAAGCAGAGGUGGGAAGCGAACAGAGACGGCAGCAGAGGAGGUGGGCAGAACAACGUUGAGGGGGAGAAAAGUGACAGCAGCUGAAACUUGGCUACCAGUGAGAUGAAAUUUGUGGAGGAGACACUGGAGCGCAGCAGGAGACGACGUCCAACGAGAACUCUGAAAUCGGAAAGCCGGGAAAACGAGUCAGCCCUCCCUGGAUCCGGUGCACCUCCUGAGCCGAAGGAUGAGAGGGGUAGACUUUCAACGUAAUUGCCAGGGAUGUGUGUGCACUACAGGAAGGCGUCCCCCUCCAGCAUGUCCAAUGCUACGAUACUCCUGAUGCUUUGUAAGAUUGGUCCGAGACAAAAACUGAAGACUUUUGCAGGGAAAAUGGUAAACGCUGUCUGCAGUGAUGAGGAAAGGGGAAUUCAAGACAAGGAAAGUAAGGAGGAGAGCAUCUUGGCCAUGCUGGGCAUCAUCGGGACUAUCCUCAACCUGGUCGUCAUCAUCUUUGUCUACAUCUACACAACACUGUAGGCUUCAAACUGCAACAGGUGGAGCAUGCCUGAGCCUGUUUCAGCUACUGCAUUCUGGCUGAUGUGGAAAGAAAGAUGAGAGGAGUCAGAACUUUAUGCAGAUUAUGCUGCAUCACUCCGAACAGGUGAAGCUGCAGAAAACUGCAUUUUUGCUAUGCUCUUUGGAGUAAGAAUCAUUCAGAGGACUCAUUAAAAAGUACAUGAAAUGAAGAAGGAACACAGCUUUUUCCAUCUUCUGGGCCUAAAAGACUACAGUGCCAGUGUUAACACUUUUGGAUAAAUUACAUUCAGCUACAAACAGAAUAAUGUCUGAUAUUUUUGGGAAAGCAGGUGUAAAGAUUUCUGCACCAAAGGGCACACAUAAUACACAUUAUGCAUUGUUUUCAUCUCUCUUUAAAUGCUUUUAUGUAAAACAUUUCAACUCAACUUAUAUAAAAUGUAUAAUAUUAAAAAAACAGCAGAUUGACUGAAAUGAGUUUGAUUUACACUAAUAUGAGUCGUUUAUUGAAUCAUUUACUGAGAAACUUCCUUUGAAUGGAAGCUGAAGGUGGAUCAUGCUGAAAUGCAUCCAUGAUGAAUGCGCCCAGCUUUGCGCUUGACAAAAGCUGAAGAAAGAUGAAACACAGCUAGAGACAUUUGUAGGAAACAGCAUGAUUAUCAUAUAUUAUUCAAGGCAUUUAUGCAUCUCUUUGACCUGUAAAGGUUUUCUAUAUUUGGAUAAAGUCCAUCCAUAUACAUGAAAAACGUCUCAGGAGGACGUAGCUUCAGAUUUUAUAUCGAGUCAGAAAUGUUGGGCAGCAUGGGCGAAUCAGACAUGAUAGAUGAGUUUCUAUGAUCAUGUUUAAUUCACUGCAAACUGUUUUCACAUAAGUGUACAUAGAUAUUAUCUUUGGAAGCCAAAAUAUUAAUCAUUUAUUAGCAAUUAAUUUUAGUUUAUGCAUUGCUGAUCUGUAAUAACUGUUUGCUUUAAAACCUGAGGUAAUGGCUGCCUAAAUGGCUGUAAAAUGAUCUGCUUAUUUAAGGUUGGCUGUUUAUUUUACUAGGGUAAUUUUACUUAAAAUAUCAUUUGAACGUUAAUUUAAAUCAAGUGUCAAAAAACCUACAAAACAUUUAUAUUGAGUCUUGUUAAUUUUGAUUGAUUUUCAAACUUGGACCAAAAUAUGGAUUGAAACAUUUCCAGUUUUCACGUUAGGUCUAUCGGGUAAGAACGCUGUCAAAAACAAUGUGUAUGUAAAGACGGAAAUGUGUGCAUAAUAUUAGUCAUGGGAUGAAUAAAUCCUACAUAAUCAGCAUAUGGGAUCUGGUGACAUCUAGUGGUAAAGUUGCAGAUUGCAACCAAUUCAUAAAUAAAACUUCUAUGCCAUUCAGGGCCACUAAAACCAACAUUUUAUUUUGCAGCUCUGCUAAAAAAUCCAUCAAAAUGUUAAAAUGCUAAAUGAUAAAAUACACUUUAAAAUCAACUCCGUCUGGAAAAAAGCAAACCUAUUGAAGUUCUGUUUGGUUUUAAAAGAUUAGAAUCCCUUUAGCCUUGAAGAAACAUUUCAUGGUUAUGUUUAGGAACUGGUACUUGGUUGAGGUCAGUAGUCAGAAAGUUUAGAAACUGAGUGCGCAACGUGAGAUGAAAUGUUUUAUUACAAUUUAUUCCGAUUUAAAUGCUCUUAUAACUGCAAAUACUAAAUAUGCAAUACGGGUUUGACCGAAGAUUCAGAGAAAUUUGCUUUGGUUGCUUCUGCUUCUGGAAGGAACAUGUCAGUUUUAAGAUUUUAUUUUUACUGAAUCAACACUGAGGUUCUGCUAAAGAGCUUCUAUUAACAAGCACAAAGAGAGGAAUGUAACCAUGAGUCCACAUCGCUCUCAUCUGUCCAAACAGGAGGAAUCCUUAUGCUGCUUUUUGGCUCCAGCUUAACCUUUAUGCUCGGGCUUUCCUGAGCUUGGUUCUGACUGAGUUUCUGAUGCUUCUGCAACAGCAGCUGAUUUUAUACAGUUUUGUACAAGUUUUUAAAUUUGUCAGCAAGUAGAAAAUGUGUCAAAUUCACUAGUUGUAUUUUAUUUGAACCAGGACUUUAAAUGAGAACAUGUCUUGAGCUACUAUUAAGAAUCAGUUUUCUUAGUCUUUAUGCCAUACAAAAUAACUGGCUUCUGGCUGCAACUUUACUCUUAGCACUAAAAUAUGACAUCAAUACCAAAAAUAACAAGUAAAUUCCAAAAAUGAUUUGAAGAUGCAUCUCUUUAGAAUGCUGUUUCCAUGCAUUAAGUGGAAGAAAAAAAUGUGUUAGAGAAUGUUGCAUAGGUAACAUGGAUAACCUGUGCCUUGAGAAGAAUCUGAUGAGGCCUGGACUGCAGCUGAAGUCAAAAUUUCAGGAGCCACAACACGACAUCUUCAUGACAUGGACUACAAAAGUCACAUUUCUCGUUUAAAACUGUUCCUGAACGUGAGAAAACAUCAGAAGCUUCUUUUCUGUGCUAAGGAGAAAAGGACUAGACAGUUGCUUAGUGGUCCGAGAUCGUCUUUUCAUUUGAACAUACAUUUUGGUCCCAGAGUCUGGAGGAAGAGUCGAGAGGCACAGAGCCAUGUUAUCUGCUAGUGCUGGUCCACUUCGUUCUAUCAAGUCCAAAGUCAGAGCAGCCAUCUAGCAGGAAAUGUUAGAGAACUUCGUGCUUCCCUCUGCUGACAAGCUUUAUGGAGAUGCUGAUUUCAUUUUCCAGCAGGACUUGGUACCAGCCCACACUGGCAAAGGUACCGAUACCUGCUUUAUUACCGUGGUAACACAAGCAAACUUGCCUGACAUGAACACUAUAGAGUCUCUGUGGGCUGUUGUCAAGAGGAAGAUGAGAGACAUCAGAACCAACAAGGCAGACAAGCUAAAGGCCGCCAUCAAAGCAACACCUCAGCAGAACCACUGGCUGAUCUCCUCCAAACUGUGCUGCACUGAUGCAGUAAUUCAUCCAAAAGGAGCCCUGGCCAAAUACUGAGUGCAGAUGAAGUAGGACUACAUUUCUGUUUUAAACUGUUUUAUAUUGUGAUGUAAAAUUAUAAUAUUCUAAGGCACAGAAUGUAUGGGUUGUCAUCAACAGUUUGAACACAUUAAACACAUAAUAUGGCGCAGAAUGAAUCUGUAUAAUAUGAGUCUUCCUCUAGACUCUAGACUUUGAUUUCCAUAUAAAAUUCAAAAUUUACUUUUACAUCUAUUUACAUCUGGAAAGAGGACUUUGGACCUCUGAGCAGCAGUCUAGUUCUUUUUCUACUUAGAUCAGGUAAGAGGCUUCCGAUGAUGUUUCUGGUUCGGGUGGCUUGACAUGAGGAAUGCAACAGUUGUAGCUCAUGCUCUGGAUAUAUUGUUUGUGCACCUUUUUCUAUAACAUUGUUUCCUUCCACUUGACUUUCCAUUGAAAUCCUUAGAUGUUCUAAAAUUGAUCACUUUGUGAGUACUCUACGUUAUGCACAAUUUAUCUCUAAAGUCAAUAUAUGUGUUUGACUUUGUGAAUUGAAAUACUGACAUGAAUAAUUGAAUUAAUUGCUAUGAAGAAAGAAGCUACAUGAGCUGAGAGCAUGAAAACAUGUCUGCUGAGAGCAGGCUUCAGUGUGUGAAAGUGUGUUAUCAACAGCAACCCUGUGUUUUCAGAAAGUGCCUGAGAUAAUGUUUCCUCAACAUGACCGUUGAAGAGAAAGAAACAGACGAACACAAACACAAAGGGACUGAACAUCUGCUGAAACACAUGCAUCCUGAUCUACUCUGCUGCGUUCACAUUGACUCUGGAUUUCUGCAACAAGGCUCAUUUACUAAAGCCAGACAUUUUGCUGCAGUGCUCCUAGAUGUUGUAAAGAAUGAAAAGGACAAAAACUAAGUUUAAUGAGCACAUGGAAAAGUCUCAUGAAUGUAUUCAUAUCUGAUGUACAUUUUGAUUAUUCAUGUUUUGUUUAUCUUUCCUAAAGCACUGUAAUCUGAAUUCUUAUUUAUUCUAUGUAUGCGCAAGCAAACCUUAUUAAACUCAUUGUAUAGACUGCUGUAGGUGAGACAUGAUGCCUGGAAAGGUUUUCUGUCUGCAUUUCAUUACAAAAUCAAAUAAACAUGCUUUAAUUGAUUUUUA
This is a long non-coding RNA of Girardinichthys multiradiatus, 5092 nucleotides long. RefSeq lists it as uncharacterized. The record is from RefSeq and is a predicted model, not a curated record. Lineage: Eukaryota; Metazoa; Chordata; Actinopteri; Cyprinodontiformes; Goodeidae. The transcript has 2 exons.